This 253-nucleotide ribosomal RNA is filed under the name uncultured bacterium. RNAcentral describes it as "partial 16S ribosomal RNA". It matches the Rfam family "Bacterial small subunit ribosomal RNA", at positions 524 to 776 of the family's 1533-position model. The record is from RNAcentral.
UACGUAGGGUGCGAGCGUUAAUCGGAAUUACUGGGCGUAAAGCGUGCGCAGGCGGCGCCGCAAGUCAGGCGUGAAAUCCCCGAGCUUAACUUGGGAAUGGCGCUUGAAACUACGGUGCUGGAGUGUGGCAGAGGGAGGUGGAAUUCCACGUGUAGCGGUGAAAUGCGUAGAGAUGUGGAGGAACAUCGAUGGCGAAGGCGGCCUGCUGGGCAGUAGCUGACGCUGAAGCGCGACAGCGUGGGGAGCAAACAGG